GGUGGGAGUGCUCGAAAGAGAACCGGCGCACAGGUGCUGCAUGGCUGUCGUCAGCUCGUGUCGUGAGAUGUUGGGUUAAGUCCCGCAACGAGCGCAACCCUUGUCCUUAGUUGCUACGCAAGAGCACUCUAAGGAGACUGCCGGUGACAAACCGGAGGAAGGUGGGGAUGACGUCAAGUCCUCAUGGCCCUUAUGGGUAGGGCUUCACACGUCAUACAAUGGUCGGAACAGAGGGUUGCCAACCCGCGAGGGGGAGCUAAUCCCAGAAAACCGAUCGUAGUCCGGAUUGCACUCUGCAACUCGAGUGCAUGAAGCUGGAAUCGCUAGUAAUCGCGGAUCAGCAUGCCGCGGUGAAUACGUUCCC
This 364-nucleotide ribosomal RNA is filed under the name Burkholderia sp. 285S. RNAcentral's name for it is "bacterial SSU rRNA". It matches the Rfam family "Bacterial small subunit ribosomal RNA", at positions 1007 to 1375 of the family's 1533-position model. Lineage: Bacteria; Pseudomonadati; Pseudomonadota; Betaproteobacteria; Burkholderiales; Burkholderiaceae. The record is from RNAcentral.